This is a long non-coding RNA of Gallus gallus (chicken), 934 nucleotides long. RefSeq lists it as uncharacterized. The record is from RefSeq and is a predicted model, not a curated record. NCBI's taxonomy places the organism in Eukaryota, Metazoa, Chordata, Aves, Galliformes, Phasianidae. The transcript has 4 exons.
CCAGUUCUCAAAAGUUUGCUUUGACUUGACAAGUUGUCCCCUCUCCUGCAGGAGGGACCACAUCACUGAGGUUCACACUGUAACUAUACCUUCAACUCCAAAGAACACUGUCUGCGAAGCAAAUUUCUGCUCUGUGGUGGCAAACCCUAAGCCACAGUACAAGCCGGAGGAUAUAGAGCUGUUGCAUGCUGAGAACUGGGGUGGACCAAGAAAUAUAUUACAACUACGUACAGAGAACAAGCAGAAGUCGGUAGCACUCAGCCAUGUAGAUCCUGCCUCCUCUUUGGAAACAAAAACGUAUUUUGAAAUACACAGACUUACAGCAGCAAUAGUGCAAAGGAAAUUCAGAGAACUCUCAAAAGCGACACUGAAGCACUUUAGCAAUGAACUCCAGGUCAGUAUUUUCAAGCUGAACCUCCAUCAAUCUUUUCCUAAACAAGCAGCCUCUGUAGACCACUACAGAAGUCAAGUGGGUUUUGCAGGAGUUCAGGUCCAGAUGGAGAGACUCUUCUGGAAGGACCAAACACAGAGGUUUAGAUGCCUCUGAACCAAUCAGAUCUGAGGAUGACUUCUGAUUCCUGCAGCUUCCCUCGCUGGCUGACAGAUGGACCCUGCAGAGCUACGAGAUGUUUUCCAAAGGCCAUCGCAACAGCUGUGGCCCCACAACUGAUCUUCAAAAACAAUUUCAGGGUUUGAGUUUUUCCUUAUUCAGUGUUCUCAUUUAUGCUCCCCACUGAGUCUAUUAUUUCAUGUCAUUAAAUCCAUAAACCAUGAAAGGUUGAAGGGCAACAGCAGUUUUUAAAAAGCAGUGUUGUGAUAACUUCACUCUCACAGACAUGCUGUGAAUGAUGAAGGACUGCUUAUCUCUAAAAAAUAUUAGCGUAUAGCGAAGUGUACGCUCAUUUUCUAGCUUGCUAGCUAGGCAAAAAAGACA